AAAAAACUUUGUGAAAGAAGCAUGAUAAGAUGAGUCAGUGAGUCUCCCUUCUGUCAGAUGACAAUGAUACUGAGGGCACACGUGGAUCCCACAGGGGUGCCUGCUGUGAGGAAAAUUGAUGUAGUCAUCCAGUGACUAUGGACAGGUGAUCAAAUCCAGAACUGGCCUUUGUCCGCAAGCCUGACACUGGUGAAUAAAGAGUGAAUAUCCAGGCCCCUGUUGUCAUGGCAGCCUUGAUGAGCCCUUUGCCAAAGACCUGCUUGAGUUUGGGCUGCAAUUCAAAGUUCUGCAGGCCCCCGUGGACUGAGAUGAGCAGCUUGGGCAGUUCCAGCUG
Long non-coding RNA from Oreochromis aureus, 334 nucleotides. RefSeq lists it as uncharacterized. NCBI's taxonomy places the organism in Eukaryota, Metazoa, Chordata, Actinopteri, Cichliformes, Cichlidae. The record is from RefSeq and is a predicted model, not a curated record. The transcript is spliced from 3 exons.